Molecule: non-coding RNA, 45 nt
Filed under: Schistosoma margrebowiei
Lineage: Eukaryota; Metazoa; Platyhelminthes; Trematoda; Strigeidida; Schistosomatidae
Source: RNAcentral
AUCCAACUGACGAAUCCCAAAUAGGACGAAAUGCGCGUCCUGGAU